This 460-nucleotide ribosomal RNA is filed under the name uncultured bacterium. RNAcentral's name for it is "partial 16S ribosomal RNA". It matches the Rfam family "Bacterial small subunit ribosomal RNA", at positions 338 to 795 of the family's 1533-position model. The record is from RNAcentral.
CCUACGGUGGGCUGCAGUGAGGAAUAUUGGUCAAUGGACGGAAGUCUGAACCAGCCAUGCCGCGUGCAGGAAGACGGCUCUAUGAGUUGUAAACUGCUUUUGUACAAGGGUAAACCUGAAUACGUGUAUUCAGCUGAAAGUACUGUACUAAUAAGGAUCGGCUAACUCCGUGCCAGCAGCCGCGGUAAUACGGCGGAUCCAAGCGUUAUCCGGAUUUAUUGGGUUUAAAGGGUGCGUAGGCGGAUGGAUAAGUUAGAGGUGAAAUGUCUGUGCUUAACUCGGGAAUUGCCUCUAAUACUGUUGAGAUAGAGAGUAGAUGCGGUAGGCGGAAUGUAUGGUGUAGCGGUGAAAUGCUUAGAGAUCAUACAGAACACCGAUUGCGAAGGCAGCUUACCAAGCUAUAUCUGACAUUGAGGCUCGAAAGUGUGGGGAUCAAACAGGAUUAGAUACCCUAGUAGUC